GCCGAAGUGGUGGAAUUGGUAGACACGCCAGUUUCAGGUACUGGUGAGCUUUACGCUUGCGGGGGUUCGAGUCCCCCCUUCGGCA
This 85-nucleotide transfer RNA is filed under the name Acidobacteriota bacterium. RNAcentral's name for it is "Acidobacteria bacterium tRNA-Leu". It matches the Rfam family "tRNA". From Rfam's summary of the family: Transfer RNA (tRNA) molecules are approximately 80 nucleotides in length. Their secondary structure includes four short double-helical elements and three loops (D, anti-codon, and T loops). Further hydrogen bonds mediate the characteristic L-shaped molecular structure. tRNAs have two regions of fundamental functional importance: the anti-codon, which is responsible for specific mRNA codon recognition, and the 3' end, to which the tRNAs corresponding amino acid is attached (by aminoacyl-tRNA synthetases). tRNAs cope with the degeneracy of the genetic code in two manners: having more than one tRNA (with a specific anti-codon) for a particular amino acid; and 'wobble' base-pairing, i.e. permitting non-standard base-pairing at the 3rd anti-codon position. Lineage: Bacteria; Pseudomonadati; Acidobacteriota. The record is from RNAcentral. RNAcentral also lists the same sequence under 5 other names.